This 492-nucleotide ribosomal RNA is filed under the name uncultured bacterium. Its description in RNAcentral is "partial 16S ribosomal RNA". It matches the Rfam family "Bacterial small subunit ribosomal RNA", at positions 29 to 507 of the family's 1533-position model. The record is from RNAcentral.
AGUGAACGCUGGCGGUAGGCCUAACACAUGCAAGUCGAACGGCAGCACAGUAAGAGCUUGCUCUUACGGGUGGCGAGUGGCGGACGAGUGAGGAAUACAUCGGAAUCUACUUUUUCGUGGGGGAUAACGUAGGGAAACUUACGCUAAUACCGCAUACGACCUACGGGUGAAAGCAGGGGAUCUUCGGACCUUUCGCGAUUGAAUGAGCCGAUGUCGGAUUAGCUAGUUGGCGGGGUAAAGGCCCACCAAGGCGACGAUCCGUAGCUGGUCUGAGAGGAUGAUCAGCCACACUGGAACUGAGACACGGUCCAGACUCCUACGGGAGGCGGCAGUGGGGAAUAUUGGACAAUGGGCGCAAGCCUGAUCCAGCCAUACCGCGUGGGUGAAGAAGGCCUUCGGGUUGUAAAGCCCUUUUGUUGGGAAAGAAAAGCAGCAGGUUAAUACCCCGCUGUUCUGACGGUACCCAAAGAAUAAGCACCGGCUAACUUCGUG